UGCAUCAUACAAAAUUUGGAAAGAGAUAAUUUUUUUAUUUUAAUAUUGUAUGAUUUUUUGAAAAAAAAUUAUACAUGUUCGUCUUUGCAUGAAUUUUUAAAUAAAUAUUAUUUUAUUAUUUUUUUGAAAGAUAUAAAAAUUUGAGUUGAUCCUAUUAUUAAAAAAAUAAAUAUCAUUAUUUAUGAAAAAUUAGUUAUGCUAAAAUCAUGAGAAAAAAUUCUUUAGUUAGACUAUGAUCUAGAUCUAGUCAAUAGGACUAAUCGUUGGCCAUAUAUUAGAAACAUAUUUUUUCUGGGCCUAGCUAGUCGGGGCUGAUCGCUAGCAGAGUUAGUCCUUCUGGGCCUAGCCAGUAAGGAUUGAUCACUGGUACAUGUUGAUGCAUCGCAUGUUUCUUACUUUAGGACUAAUCUCUUUACCUUGUCAUAGGGCAAAUCAUGAUCGUGUGAAUUAGAACUAGUUCCCUCCUGAGCUUAGCCAGUAGGACUGAUCAUUGGUGCAUGCUGAUGGAUCGGAUAUUUUAUAUUUAGAAGCUAAUAUUUUUUUGGUCUUGUCAUGGGGCUAAUCGUGACCGUAGUCAACAAAGACUAAGAAAGAUUUUUAAAGAUUAUUGCUACACAUGGCAUGUUUUGAAAAUUCAAGUUAUAUGGGUAUUUGCAUAUAUUAUUAUAUAUUUGAAAAAAAAAAUUAUUAUACUUGAUCCUUCAGAGAUAUUGAUAACUUACUGAGCUCGAAAAGCUCAUUUUUUUUUCUAUUUUUUC
This 758-nucleotide long non-coding RNA is filed under the name Elaeis guineensis (African oil palm). RNAcentral describes it as "long non-coding RNA (EGUI_LNC044855)". Lineage: Eukaryota; Viridiplantae; Streptophyta; Magnoliopsida; Arecales; Arecaceae. The record is from RNAcentral.